UAAAUUCAUACGCAAACAAUUCCAAUACCCACAGCCUAGGCAAUGGUCAAGCACAAAAACCAGAAUAUGAAAUUGCAAUUAAAUUUAGUGAAUGAAAAUUCUUCAUCAUCUUGAAAAUCUGUAUUAAUUAAGCAAUCAAAUCCAUAGAGUAAUCAUAAUUAGGGCUUACUCUUAGCCUUAGCUAAGAGUUUAGAACACCAUGAAACAAGAAUUCAUGAUAAUUCUGGAAAAGAAAAUCUUCACAAAAAUAAAGCUAGAAAAAACCAAUUAUAUUGUUGCGCUUUGCUCUUCCGACCAGUCACGCAGAAGAAGCCUCCCACUUUUCACCAACUCUCCCCUUUUUAUAGUCGUCUCAUGUAAACCCUUGAGUUCAGAUAGGAAAUCUCUCACAACCCAGGAUAAGAAGUUUCUUUUGUAUCAGGAAAUUGCCAACUGCCACAAUCCUCAUAGAAACCAAUUAGCCCAAUAUAUCAUUGCUGCAAACUUCACGAACUGAAAUUUAAUUGAGAAAAUUGAGUUUUCCAUCUCUCUACUAAUGAAUUGCAACCCUCCUUUCUGAAAUGGUGCGGCAGCUUUCCUUUGAGAGCCAGGGAAUAAAACCUCAUCAAUUUCUCAUUAGUUGGAAAGACAAAAGGUGGUGGGGCCCGUGAUACAUCCCAUCUGCUUUUCUCUUUUCAUCCUACUGUUCUAAAGCUUUCACACAAAUAUGACUUGCUUGCCACAUAACACACUCCUGCAUUUAAAUGUAAUAAGAAAUUAAAAAGAUAACUAAUGAAUGAAGUUGAACCCAAUAAAACCACGUGAAUUGGUAGAAAUCAGGAAUAUAGAAUGCAUCUUUACUUAUCCCAACAAUAUACGCUAUUGAGACACAAAAACAACUAAUUAACUUAAUUAAAUCAAAUCCGCCACUAACAAAUACAAUUUCAUGAUAAUAAAUGUAAUAAUUUUGUGCUCAUCAUCCACUCAGAAUAUUGCUUGACAGAUCCAAUGAUUGCAAACUACCUGGCAAAAGAAUGCAGGGCCCCUCCUUCAAGUUUGUUAUUAGAGAGAUCAAGAUGUGCCAGAGACCUCAUGUUUCCAAAAACAUCAGGAAUUGAACCGGCUAGAAGGUUCAAAGAGAGGUCAAUAUGAACAUGGCUGGUACUAUAGUUGGACAACCAUAUGAAUAUUGAAGAAGUACUCAAAUGGUUCGAAGAGAGGACAACGCUAGAAGAGUUUAUGUAAGAAAGAGUGGAAAGAAUUGGAGAAGGAAGAUCACAGCCCUCUAGUGUCAAGUUUGUUAGUUCAGGAAGCUUAUUGAUGGCUUCCGACCAAUCAUAAACAUUGCUGAGAUUCACGAAAUUCAAGUCCAAAUAUCUUAAUGACGAAAGAAGAGGAAGUCAGUCAAGAUUUUCUGCAUUUGUAAAGUUAUUAGCUUCUAAGGCAAGAUACUGCAAGUUCGUAAGAUUUCCGACCUCACUUGGAAACUUGCCAUCAAAAUAAGUCCAAGAUAGAUCAAGGUAUCUUAAAUUGGAUAGAGAACCAAUGAAAUCUGGAACUGAGAUCCCAAUUAAAUUAAUCCCACCAAGGUCCAAAUGUUCUAAAUAGUGCAACUCAAUCAGUUUAGAACUAAUCAUCUUACCUUGCAAAGAAUACAGUCCAUGAAGAUCAACUUGAAUAACAUGGCCCGUCUGGUUGCUACAAGAAACUCCCACCCAUCUGCAACAAUCUUGUUUUUGGGCUUCU
Molecule: long non-coding RNA, 1725 nt
Filed under: Prunus persica (peach)
Lineage: Eukaryota; Viridiplantae; Streptophyta; Magnoliopsida; Rosales; Rosaceae
Description: long non-coding RNA (PPER_LNC002732)
Source: RNAcentral